AAGAAGCACCGGCUAACUACGUGCCAGCAGCCGCGGUAAUACGUAGGGUGCGAGCGUUAAUCGGAAUUACUGGGCGUAAAGCGUGCGCAGGCGGCUUUUUAAGACAGAUGUGAAAUCCCCGGGCUUAACCUGGGAACUGCAUUUGGAACUGGAAGGCUAGAGUGUAGCAGAGGGGGGUAGAAUUCCACGUGUAGCAGUGAAAUGCGUAGAUAUGUGGAGGAAUACCGAUGGCGAAGGCAGCCCCCUGGGUUAACACUGACGCUCAUGCACGAAAGCGUGGGGAGCAA
Molecule: ribosomal RNA, 287 nt
Filed under: uncultured beta proteobacterium
Lineage: Bacteria; Pseudomonadati; Pseudomonadota; Betaproteobacteria
Description: partial 16S ribosomal RNA
Rfam family: Bacterial small subunit ribosomal RNA
Source: RNAcentral